RNAcentral lists this ribosomal RNA (498 nucleotides) under uncultured bacterium. RNAcentral's name for it is "partial 16S ribosomal RNA". It matches the Rfam family "Bacterial small subunit ribosomal RNA", at positions 28 to 507 of the family's 1533-position model. The record is from RNAcentral.
GACGAACGCUGGCGGCGUGCCUAAUACAUGCAAGUCGAGCGGACGAUUCGAAAGCUUGCUUUUGAAUCGUUAGCGGCGGACGGGUGAGUAACACGUGGGCAACCUGCCCUGUAGACGGGGAUAACACCGAGAAAUCGGUGCUAAUACCGGAUAACACGAAAUGUCGCAUGACGUUUCGUUGAAAGGCGGCGCACGCUGCCGCUACAGGAUGGGCCCGCGGCGCAUUAGCUAGUUGGUGAGGUAACGGCUCACCAAGGCGACGAUGCGUAGCCGACCUGAGAGGGUGAUCGGCCACACUGGGACUGAGACACGGCCCAGACUCCUACGGGAGGCAGCAGUAGGGAAUCUUCCGCAAUGGACGAAAGUCUGACGGAGCAACGCCGCGUGAGCGAAGAAGGCCUUCGGGUCGUAAAGCUCUGUUGUUAGGGAAGAACAAGUAACGUAGUAACUGACGUUACUAUGACGGUACCUAACGAGAAAGCCACGGCUAACUACGUG